CUGGUUGAUCCUGCCAGUAGUCAUAUGCUUGUCUCAAAGAUUAAGCCAUGCAUGUCUAAGUAUAAGCAAUUAUACCGUGAAACUGCGAAUGGCUCAUUAAAUCAGUUAUCGUUUAUUUGAUAGUACCUUACUACUUGGAUAACCGUGGUAAUUCUAGAGCUAAUACAUGCUUAGAACCCCAACUUCGGAAGGGGUGUAUUUAUUAGAUAAAAAACCAAUGCCCUUCGGGGCUCUUUGGUGAUUCAUAAUAACUUAACGGAUCGCAUGGCCUUGCGCCGGCGACGGUUCAUUCAAAUUUCUGCCCUAUCAACUUUCGAUGGUAAGGUAUUGGCUUACCAUGGUUUCAACGGGUAACGGGGAAUUAGGGUUCGAUUCCGGAGAGGGAGCCUGAGAAACGGCUACCACAUCCAAGGAAGGCAGCAGGCGCGCAAAUUACCCAAUCCCGACACGGGGAGGUAGUGACAAUAAAUACUGAUACAGGGCUCUUUUGGGUCUUGUAAUCGGAAUGAGUACAAUUUAAACCCCUUAACGAGGAACAAUUGGAGGGCAAGUCUGGUA
RNAcentral lists this ribosomal RNA (558 nucleotides) under uncultured Westerdykella. Its description in RNAcentral is "SSU rRNA". It matches the Rfam family "Eukaryotic small subunit ribosomal RNA", at positions 4 to 566 of the family's 1831-position model. The record is from RNAcentral. Lineage: Eukaryota; Fungi; Ascomycota; Dothideomycetes; Pleosporales; Sporormiaceae.